CGAGGUGUAGCGCAGUCGGUAGCGUGCCUGCUUCGGGAGCAGGAAGUCGCAGGUUCAAGUCCUGUCACCUCGACCA
This 76-nucleotide transfer RNA is filed under the name Clostridiaceae bacterium. Its description in RNAcentral is "tRNA-Pro". It matches the Rfam family "tRNA". Rfam says of the family: Transfer RNA (tRNA) molecules are approximately 80 nucleotides in length. Their secondary structure includes four short double-helical elements and three loops (D, anti-codon, and T loops). Lineage: Bacteria; Bacillati; Bacillota; Clostridia; Eubacteriales; Clostridiaceae. RNAcentral also lists the same sequence under 1 other name. The record is from RNAcentral.